UCCCUGAAGGUCUAAUGGUUAGGACUCCACGUUCCCAGUGCAGAGGGUCUGGGUUCAAUCCCUGGUCAGGGAA
Molecule: non-coding RNA, 73 nt
Organism: Bos taurus (domestic cattle)
Lineage: Eukaryota; Metazoa; Chordata; Mammalia; Artiodactyla; Bovidae
Source: Rfam